ACGGCUCAGUAACACGUAGUCAAUCUGCCCUCAGGACGGGUAUACCCUCGGGAAACUGAGGUUAACUCCCGAUGGGCCAUCUAUGCUGGAAUGCUUGAUGGCCAAAAUCACGCAGCGAAUUGGAGUUGCGUUGGCCUGAGGAUGAGACUGCGCCUGAUUAGGUAGUUGGUGAGGUAACGGCUCACCAAGCCGAUAAUCAGUAGGGGCAAUGGGAGUUGGAGCCCCGAGAAGGACACUGAGACAAGGGUCCUAGUCCUACGGGAUGCAGCAGGCGCGAAACCUUUGCCAUGCGCGAAAGCGUGACAGGGGAAUUCCGAGUGGUAGGGGGGUUUACCUCCCUAUCUUUUGGCCAAUCCAAACAAUUGGCAGAAUAAGAUCUGGGUAAGACAAGUGCCAGCCGCCAUGCGCGUGAUCAUUCGCACGCACGGCACGGUACGCGGUAAUACUGGCAGAGCAAGUGGUAUCCACGAAUAUUGGGUCUAAAGAGUCCGUAGCGGGCCUGUUAAGUCCACUGUGAAAUCUGGCGGCUCAACCGUCAGGCGUGCAGUGGAUACUGGCAGGCUUGGGAGUGGGGGAGGUCGGGAGUACUCACGGGGUAGCGGUAAAAUGCUGUAAUCCUGUGAGGACUACCAGUGGCGAAGGCGCCCGACCAAAACACGUCCGACCGUGAGGGACGAAAGGCUAGGAGAACGAAUCGGAUUAGAUACCCGAGUAGCCCUAGCAGUAAAUUAUGCAGACUGUGGUGUUGCGUCGACUUCGAGUCGGCGCAGUGCUGUAGCGUAAGUUG
Molecule: ribosomal RNA, 787 nt
Filed under: uncultured archaeon
Lineage: Archaea
Description: bacterial SSU rRNA
Rfam family: Archaeal small subunit ribosomal RNA
Source: RNAcentral